GGCGAACGGGUGAGUAAUGCAUCGGAACGUGUCCUUUUGUGGGGGAUAACCAGUCGAAAGACUGGCUAAUACCGCAUGAGCUCGAGAGAGGAAAGCAGGGGACCGCAAGGCCUUGCGCGAGAGGAGCGGCCGAUGCCGGAUUAGCUAGUUGGUGGGGUAAAAGCCUACCAAGGCGACGAUCCGUAGCUGGUCUGAGAGGACGACCAGCCACACUGGGACUGAGACACGGCCCAGACUCCUACGGGAGGCAGCAGUGGGGAAUUUUGGACAAUGGGGGCAACCCUGAUCCAGCCAUGCCGCGUGUGUGAAGAAGGCCUUCGGGUUGUAAAGCACUUUCGGCCGGAACGAAAUCGCGCGAGCUAACACCCCGCGUGGAUGACGGUACCGGAAGAAGAAGCACCGGCUAACUACGUGCCAGCAGCCGCGGUAAUACGUAGGGUGCAAGCGUUAAUCGGAAUUACUGGGCGUAAAGUGUGCGCAGGUGGCCGCGCAAGUCGAGUGUGAAAGCCCCGGGCUUAACUUGGGAAUUGCGCUCGAAACUACGUGGCUCGAGUGUGGUAGAGGAAGGUGGAAUUCCACGUGUAGCGGUGAAAUGCGUAGAGAUGUGGAGGAACACCGAUGGCGAAGGCAGCCUUCUGGGCCAACACUGACGCUCAUGCACGAAAGCGUGGGGAGCAAACGGGAUUAGAUACCCCGGUAGUCC
RNAcentral lists this ribosomal RNA (703 nucleotides) under uncultured bacterium. Its description in RNAcentral is "bacterial SSU rRNA". It matches the Rfam family "Bacterial small subunit ribosomal RNA", at positions 97 to 796 of the family's 1533-position model. The record is from RNAcentral.